GGGGAAUUGUUCACAAUGGGCGCAAGCCUGAUGACGCAACGCCGCGUGGGGGAUGAAGGUCUUCGGAUCGUAAACCCCUGUCGAAUGGGACGAAUAGCCACCGGAUCAAUACCCCGGUGGAAUGACGGUACCGUUAAAGGAAGCCACGGCUAACUCUGUGCAAGCAGCCGCGGUAAUACAGAGGUGGCAAGCGUUGUUCGGAAUCAUUGGGCGUAAAGCGCACGUAGGCGGCUCCGCAAGUCGGAUGUGAAAUCCCUCGGCUCAACCGAGGACGUGCAUCCGAAACUGCAGAGCUUGAGUAUGGAAGAGGGUCGCGGAAUUCCCGGUGUAGAGGUGAAAUUCGUAGAUAUCGGGAGGAACACCAGUGGCGAAGGCGGCGACCUGGGCCAAUACUGACGCUGAGGUGCGAAAGCGUGGGGAGCAAA
RNAcentral lists this ribosomal RNA (425 nucleotides) under uncultured bacterium. Its description in RNAcentral is "bacterial SSU rRNA". It matches the Rfam family "Bacterial small subunit ribosomal RNA", at positions 356 to 772 of the family's 1533-position model. The record is from RNAcentral.